UGCACACACUGUAGUCCUGGAUACCUCUCGCCGCAAGGCGGAUGCGGAGUUUGCGCAAGCUCACUCUGAAUUUCCAGGUCUAUGAUUUUACAAACCCCAAUUGAAUGUUACAGAAUGUUAUCAUAAGGCCUCGUGCCUAUAAAUUAUACAACUUUCAGCAACGGAUCUCUUGGCUCUCGCAUCGAUGAAGAACGCAGCGAAAUGCGAUAAGUAAUGUGAAUUGCAGAAUUCAGUGAAUCAUCGAAUCUUUGAACGCACCUUGCGCUCCUUGGUAUUCCGAGGAGCAUGCCUGUUUGAGUGUCAUUAAAUUCUCAACCUCACCAAUUUUGUAAUGAAGUUGUGUGUAGGCUUGGAUGUGGGGGUUGCAGGUCCACUCUGUGGUCUGCUCCUCUGAAAUGUAUUAGUGGGUUUGGCCCCUAAUCUAUUGGUGUGAUAAUUAUCUACGCCGUGGAUUGGAAGGCUGUUACGACCUGCUUCUAACCGUCCUUCACUGGACAACUCUUGACAUUUUUGACCUCUAAUCAGGUAAGACUACCCGCUGAACUUAAGCAUAUCCUAAGCUGGAGGAA
RNAcentral lists this ribosomal RNA (569 nucleotides) under Coprinopsis sp. OT1-121.1. Its description in RNAcentral is "eukaryotic LSU rRNA". The stretch from base 150 to 303 matches the Rfam family "5.8S ribosomal RNA". The record is from RNAcentral. Lineage: Eukaryota; Fungi; Basidiomycota; Agaricomycetes; Agaricales; Psathyrellaceae.